GAACGCACAUUGCGCCCCUUGGUAUUCCAUGGGGCAUGCCUGUUCGAGCGUCAUUUGUACCUUCAAGCUCUGCUUGGUGUUGGGUGUUUGUCUAGUCCGCGUGUCUAGACUCGCCUCAAAGUAAUUGGCAGCCAGUGUUUUGGUUUUGAAGCGCAGCACAAGUCGCGACUCAAGCCUAUAUCCACCAGCUUCCACAAGCCUAUUAUCACUUUUGACCUCGGAUCAGGUAGGGAUACCCGCUGAACUUAAG
This 250-nucleotide unclassified non-coding RNA is filed under the name Pseudophaeosphaeria rubi. RNAcentral describes it as "sequence contains 5.8S rRNA gene". The stretch from base 1 to 53 matches the Rfam family "5.8S ribosomal RNA", at positions 102 to 154 of the family's 154-position model. The record is from RNAcentral. Lineage: Eukaryota; Fungi; Ascomycota; Dothideomycetes; Pleosporales; Phaeosphaeriaceae.